GAGCAGGAGGAUUGUCUGGAGCCUCAUCCUAAACAUCUUCCACUGCCAUUCAGACCUUUCAGUUGCUUUAUAUGCUGGGUUUCUAAUUUGAUGAUGAUGAGAUAGGAAAAACAAGUCUGAAGCCCAAAGAUAUGUAAGCUAUGAGCUCUGAAGAAGUGCCGGCACAAGACAUUCUCAGUUCAGGUGAUCAGUAAACAUCAAGGUGACCAUGCCAGUGAGGACAAGGCCACAGGCUUACAGUCCUGGGAUGAGCCAGUCAGCAGCUGGUCCAGAAUCAGAGAUGACUGCAGCACAUCCCUAUGGUCUUUAAUGGGAGUGAACUUGGAUUAAGAGGGAAACCAGCACUAGAGAUGUCUUCUCUGAGCUCAUGAAGAAUUAUAAUGGCGAGAAUCAAACCAAACAUUGAUGGACAACUGCAAAGAGCAUUCCACAUAUAAAUGAAAAAUGUUGCUUGCUAAAGAUCUAUAAGGUUGUUUUCAGAAACACAACCUUCUUGAUAUUGUCAGAUAAAUUAAUUAUGAAAGCAAUAAAUGUCUAAAUAUACAGGAAA
Long non-coding RNA from Pan troglodytes (chimpanzee), 550 nucleotides. RefSeq lists it as uncharacterized. The record is from RefSeq and is a predicted model, not a curated record. Lineage: Eukaryota; Metazoa; Chordata; Mammalia; Primates; Hominidae. The transcript is spliced from 2 exons.